This 404-nucleotide ribosomal RNA is filed under the name uncultured prokaryote. RNAcentral's name for it is "bacterial SSU rRNA". It matches the Rfam family "Bacterial small subunit ribosomal RNA", at positions 355 to 776 of the family's 1533-position model. The record is from RNAcentral. RNAcentral also lists the same sequence under 1 other name.
UGGGGAAUAUUGGACAAUGGGCGAAAGCCUGAUCCAGCCAUGCCGCGUGAGUGAUGAAGGCCUUAGGGUUGUAAAGCUCUUUCGACGGGGACGAUAAUGACGGUACCCGUAGAAGAAGCCCCGGCUAACUUCGUGCCAGCAGCCGCGGUAAUACGAAGGGGGCUAGCGUUGCUCGGAAUCACUGGGCGUAAAGGGCGCGUAGGCGGCCGAUCAAGUCAGAGGUGAAAGCCCAAGGCUCAACCUUGGAAUUGCCUUUGAUACUGUUUGGCUAGAGACCGGAAGAGGUAAGUGGAACUGCGAGUGUAGAGGUGAAAUUCGUAGAUAUUCGCAAGAACACCAGUGGCGAAGGCGGCUUACUGGUCCGGUUCUGACGCUGAGGCGCGAAAGCGUGGGGAGCAAACAGG